This 253-nucleotide ribosomal RNA is filed under the name uncultured bacterium. Its description in RNAcentral is "partial 16S ribosomal RNA". It matches the Rfam family "Bacterial small subunit ribosomal RNA", at positions 524 to 776 of the family's 1533-position model. The record is from RNAcentral.
UACGUAGGGUGCAAGCGUUGUCCGGAAUUACUGGGCGUAAAGAGCUCGUAGGUGGUUUGUCGCGUUGGUCGUGAAAACCGGGGGCUUAACCCUCGGCGUGCGGGCGAUACGGGCAGACUUGAGUACUGCAGGGGAGACUGGAAUUCCUGGUGUAGCGGUGGAAUGCGCAGAUAUCAGGAGGAACACCGGUGGCGAAGGCGGGUCUCUGGGCCACUACUGACGCUGAGAAGCGAAAGCAUGGGGAGCAAACAGG